AUUGAACGCUGGCGGCAGGCUUAACACAUGCAAGUCGGACGGUAGCACAGAGGAGCUUGCUCCUUGGGUGACGAGUGGCGGACGGGUGAGUAAUGUCUGGGGAUCUGCCCGAUAGAGGGGGAUAACCACUGGAAACGGUGGCUAAUACCGCAUAACGUCGCAAGACCAAAGAGGGGGACCUUCGGGCCUCUCACUAUCGGAUGAACCCAGAUGGGAUUAGCUAGUAGGCGGGGUAAUGGCCCACCUAGGCGACGAUCCCUAGCUGGUCUGAGAGGAUGACCAGCCACACUGGAACUGAGACACGGUCCAGACUCCUACGGGAGGCAGCAGUGGGGAAUAUUGCACAAUGGGCGCAAGCCUGAUGCAGCCAUGCCGCGUGUAUGAAGAAGGCCUUCGGGUUGUAAAGUACUUUCAGCGGGGAGGAAGGCGGUGCGGUUAAUAACCGCACCGAUUGACGUUACCCGCAGAAGAAGCACCGGCUAACUCCGUGCCAGCAGCCGCCGUAA
This 506-nucleotide ribosomal RNA is filed under the name uncultured bacterium. RNAcentral's name for it is "partial 16S ribosomal RNA". It matches the Rfam family "Bacterial small subunit ribosomal RNA", at positions 29 to 523 of the family's 1533-position model. The record is from RNAcentral.